Molecule: ribosomal RNA, 754 nt
Filed under: Paenibacillus sp. RZ3MS2
Lineage: Bacteria; Bacillati; Bacillota; Bacilli; Caryophanales; Paenibacillaceae
Description: bacterial SSU rRNA
Rfam family: Bacterial small subunit ribosomal RNA
Source: RNAcentral
CUAUACAUGCAGUCGAGCGGACUUGAUGGAGAGCUUGCUCUCYUGAURGUUAGCGGCGGACSGKUGAGUAACACGUAGGCAACCUGCCCUCUGGACUGGGAUAACUACCGGAAACGGUAGCUAAUACCAGAUAAUUCACUUCUUCGCAUGGAGAAGUGAGGAAAGACGGAGCAAUCUGUCACCGGAGGAUGGGCCUGCGGCGCAUUAGCUAGUUGGAGAGGUAACGGCUCCCCAAGGCGACGAUGCGUAGCCGACCUGAGAGGGUGAUCGGCCACACUGGGACUGAGACACGGCCCAGACUCCUACGGGAGGCAGCAGUAGGGAAUCUUCCGCAAUGGGCGAAAGCCUGACGGAGCAACGCCGCGUGAGUGAUGAAGGUUUUCGGAUCGUAAAGCUCUGUUGCCAAGGAAGAACGUCCUUAAGAGUAACUGCUUAAGGAGUGACGGUACUUGAGAAGAAAGCCCCGGCUAACUACGUGCCAGCAGCCGCGGUAAUACGUAGGGGGCAAGCGUUGUCCGGAAUUAUUGGGCGUAAAGCGCGCGCAGGCGGUCAUUUAAGUCUGGUGUUUAAGCCCGGGGCUCAACCCCGGAUCGCACGGGAAACUGGAUGACUUGAGUGCAGAAGAGGAGAGUGGAAUUCCACGUGUAGCGGUGAAAUGCGUAGAGAUGUGGAGGAACACCAGUGGCGAAAGCGACUCUCUGGGCUGUAACUGACGCUGAGGCGCGAAAGCGUGGGGAGCAAACAGGAUUAGAUA